GAUCUGCAAAGCUCCUCUCUACAGGAGGACGCUGUAUCUAUCAACAUGUGAACUGUGGUCUGAGAUUCGGGGAUACGUACCUGGCAGUGCGCACACCGCGAUCAUAGAUCUGAACUUGGAGGGAUGACCCGAAGCAGGACUUGUUUUGACUUGGAACCCCAAAGUGACCUGAGUCUGCACUCAUUUCAACUUGAAACCCCAAAGUUCAGGCUCGAAGAGGACCUGCCAGCGGUGACCCUGCCUGUCUGCCUACUCAGGAAGAAGAGCAUGAAGCACACAUCAACAGAGCAGAAAGCAGGCUG
Long non-coding RNA from Pseudophryne corroboree (corroboree frog), 302 nucleotides. RefSeq lists it as uncharacterized. The record is from RefSeq and is a predicted model, not a curated record. NCBI's taxonomy places the organism in Eukaryota, Metazoa, Chordata, Amphibia, Anura, Myobatrachidae. The transcript has 3 exons.